UGGGGCUAUUUCUGCUGUCAAGAUUUGCUCCGAUGGGAUAUAGGUAUAACUAUCCCUCUAACCUGAGACCGCCACAAUAACUUGCAAGCAACUCACUGCACUUAGGCACUGGACUACCUGAAUUUUUAAUUCAGUGAUGGAAGGAUGCUGGGUGUAGUCAAAUAUUUGACUUGUCGGUGCGUGUGUCAAGAUGGGAUUAACCACUCCAAUUCAAGAGCUGUGUAUAGUCGUGUUUCAAUUUAGCAAAAUCUUGGUCAGGGUAGUCCUAGUGAGGAGUCACGGGACUAUUUGAGUAGAGC
RNAcentral lists this long non-coding RNA (299 nucleotides) under Elaeis guineensis (African oil palm). RNAcentral describes it as "long non-coding RNA (EGUI_LNC075714)". Lineage: Eukaryota; Viridiplantae; Streptophyta; Magnoliopsida; Arecales; Arecaceae. The record is from RNAcentral.